UCUGGCUCAGGAUGAACGCUAGCGGCAGGCUUAACACAUGCAAGUCGAGGGGCAUCGGGAGUAGCAAUACUGCCGGCGACCGGCGCAAGGGUGCGUAACGCGUGAGCAACAUGCCCGUAUCAGGGGGAUAAUCCAUGGAAACGUGGUCUAAUACCCCAUAGUAAUUAUGUAAGGCAUCUUAUAUAAUUUAAAGCUUUGGUGGAUACGGAUUGGCUCGCGUGACAUUAGCUGGAUGGUAAGGUAACGGCUUACCAUGGCUACGAUGUCUAGGGGUUCUGAGAGGAAGGUCCCCCACACUGGAACUGAGACACGGUCCAGACUCCUACGGGAGGCAGCAGUGAGGAAUAUUGGACAAUGGAUGGAAAUCUGAUCCAGCCAUGCCGCGUGCAGGAAGACGGCCCUAUGGGUUGUAAACUGCUUUUGUAUGGGAGCAAUAAGGGCUACGUGUAGUCCGAUGAGAGUACCAUACGAAUAAGCACCGGCUAACUCCGUGCCAGCCGCCGC
Molecule: ribosomal RNA, 504 nt
Filed under: uncultured bacterium
Lineage: Bacteria
Description: bacterial SSU rRNA
Rfam family: Bacterial small subunit ribosomal RNA
Source: RNAcentral